Molecule: unclassified non-coding RNA, 202 nt
Filed under: Hevea brasiliensis (rubber tree)
Lineage: Eukaryota; Viridiplantae; Streptophyta; Magnoliopsida; Malpighiales; Euphorbiaceae
Source: RNAcentral
GACCCAGACACGGGUCUUUCUGGAUCUAUUGCGAAUUGCAAUAUAACUUCUCCAUUUCUGGAGGAAACGGAGAAGGAUGGGGAUGGGGAUGGAGAUGAAUGAAAUCUCAGGACCUUCCGUCACAGUUUUCAAGGCAGGCGGUGGACCGGCCACCAAAUGGCGGAUGUUGCACAUAAUAGUAGCCCUUGGAAUUUGGCUCGGC